UUGGAAGAUUGCUAUCGGAUGCUAUAGCUUUAUUUUCAAGACCACGGUGUGUGGUGGUUAUUUUAGCACCAAUAAGCUUCAGAAUUCACCCAUUUGGCCAUCGUGUACAUUACGUCUGAAAUAUUAACUUUCUUGUAGACCGGGAAUUUGAAUUUACCGUGGACGAUCUUUGGAGGUACGCGGGAGGAACUGUACCAUUUUCACGGCGCUCGUCAUGUUCAUUCACACGGUCUGCUGCGGAGGCUUUGGGCACUUUCCAUUGAUGCAGGACGACGUGUAAAUAUCAAUACAGAUUGACAUUUUAAGAUGAGAUGAAUUUGGCGACUGUUUUUUUGUUUGCGACAAAAGCGAGUUAUGGAUUGUGUCACUUUAUAUUAAAGUUUCAUCUCUGCAAAAAAGUGUUGACAUCACAUUUUUGACCAAUCCAAAUAUGUACGUCCCGUUUUAAUGAGCAACUGAAGAAACUGAGCCGGACUUCGGAUUUAAACGGUGACAGUUUGGGAGUAAAUGGUAUUUAGACAGUGGUCCGUUUUGGACCCAGGCCCCCAACGUUUGCUGCUUCGACAGUCCCUUGGGAAACGGAAAGUCGUGUCGUCUCAGUUGCAUCUAUAACAUCGUUUUCUAUCGUUGGUGUGCUGUAAAUUGUGGGUUACAAAACAUGACUCUGAAACUGGUUAUUUUAUCGAUGCACUCUAACUUAAUCAUGGACAGAGAAGUUGACGAUUGUAUCGAACCGUCCAAAAUGCUGCGUUCUUAAUGUAGUGAAGGCCGACUUAAGACUUUCCUUGGAUGUGUUCGGUUAAUCAAUGGAAAAUACGAAUGACAAAUGUGAAAUUUAAAAGAACAAAGAAACUAAAAUACGCGUAAAUUUAUUUUACAUAGGCCAUUUUUAUUGACUCGAGGAAGUGAACCAAAUGAAUGCAACUGGAAAAUCUACGAAAACCCGACCACCAAGAAAGAAGAGUCUUCAAUCUGUGUUGGUCCCAUCCAGGAAAUCCUGGGUGAAUAUGGCCUUAUUCAUGAUGUCUAUCACGAAGGCCUUAGCGGCCCGGUUACUCUUCGCAAUUCACGGUAUCGUUACGGUGUGGCGUGUGGCGAGCGUAAAGGGCAGUGCUGCUUACUAUCUCAUGUUGAUGCCGGUGGCCCUGAUGCCUGGUGAGAUGAUAUUCACUCUACAGACCACAGAUGCAGGGGAAUGGAAAUGGUUGUGCCCAAGCGCCCUACUUUACCUAGCCAGCGUGGUACCAGGACUGUGGGUGCUUCAGCUGGACUUGUACCAGAAACGAAUUGACUUUCGAGAUAACAUGAAACUGAUCGAGUGUUCGGCAAAGAUCGUCUACAAUCACACUUCAUUUACAAACCUCCAAGGGCUCCAGAUCCCCGUGAUUCUUGCUGAUGACGAGUGGGCAUUGGCACUGGAGCAGAUCUUGCUUUGUCUUCUCAUCCUCGGAAGGUGGCUUCUCCCAAAGGGCUCCCUCACACGGGAACAACUGUCCCAGCUUCUCAUGGUGUAUAUCGGUAUGGCUGCUGACAUCUUGGAGUUUUCCUUGGAGAAUCUUCGCGAAGAGCAAGUUGUGUGCAACAAGAGCAUUAUCAUGAUAAUACUCGCCUUCUGGAGCUGGAGUCUGCAACAGUUUGCUAUGGUCCUGACCUCCGUGGCGGGUCCCAAAAUCAGGGUCUUCAACAAGCGGCAAGAAACCCCUCGCAGUGACCGGGAGGAUGCCGCCGGGUCGGAACCGGGUGAGUCUCCGCCCGAGCACCACGUCAAUCAUAUGAAUAAAGGGUGCUGCUCUUCGGAGAUCUGGGCCCUGUGUAUCUCGUUGAUCAUGCAGGACGGGCCGUACCUCGGCAUGAGGCUAUACCUCAUCAUACGCUUCCAAAUCAUCAAUCAGAUGAUGCUCUUCUUCACAUUGAAGAACAUGAUGAUCUUCCUGCUUACCGUGUACCGGAUAUGCGUGCUGCACACGUCGAAGGGCGACAAGAAGCUAAAGGUCAAAGUUCGAGUUGACCCAGGAGAUGGAUUAAAGGGGCUGGUCCUACCACUGGAUAUUGGGCUGGGUGUGCCGCAGACGAUUGUCCUCAACGGGAAGAGGUCAAAGCAGAUCGAACCGGAAGUAGUUCAGAAGAACGGAAUUGUUAAUCAGGACAUAGAACAUACGUACGUUGUUGCUCACGUUGAUGAGCGGAUGAGAGGAAAACCGAUGAUCAGUGAUGACCAAAUUGAAGAAAUUGAACUUUGAGUCUGAGAAGCUGACGUCACCAGUUAAUGGAUUCCAAACCCCACCUUCUUCGCGUGAUAGCCUAGCCACAGUUGAAUUAUACUCAUCAUAAUCACCUCACAGUACCGCCAUAAAACUAUAUUUUUUGAUUAAAUUGAGGCAGAAAAUACAACCAACGAAACUCCUACAAAACAACAACUAAGGUUUGGAUCUCCCGUAAACAAAUGAACGUUGGAGCGGGAGAGGACUUGAAGCUGCUACCAAAUCCGAUCAACUCGGGCUGUUUUGGUUUUUGAAAGUGCAUUUCUUGCUACUCUGUAAACAAAAUUAACCACACAAUAAAGUAGCGAUAGUGGUGGAAAAAUCAUCUGAAUUUCAGAGUCUCAGAAUCACAACAAUGCCAGUUUUGGAGCCAGAUGUAGCGAAAACUUUGGGCGUGCAUCACAUGCGUGUGAAACAACACCGCUGAUGAACACGCAGUAAGACGAGUGCCAGUUUACCUGUAGUCACUAUGACCAUAGAGCAAGGAUGGCUAUGACUUUUGCUACGGGUGUUGCUCAGGGACGUCCUAUACUUCAACGCAUGACAACGCGGCGAUCAAACCGUAGCCACAGCCGCUAACUUCGGACACGGUCUUAACAUACAAUUUUGGACUCAAAAAAAUGUCAUAGCUGCUUGUGACGUAGCUGGCUGUGACGUCAUUACAAGGGAUCAACAGCAUUACAAUUAUUUUGUAUGUAGCAUUUACUCUCAAUCUGACAGUGAUAGCUUUACGUAUUAUAACUUUGAUAAUAAUGAACUUUAUAAUAAUGAACAGUUUUUAAAAGCGCAAAAUUACAAAGAAGUACAAUGAAGCGCUUUUGGAAAGUUAAAGAGUGAAACCAGGACUAUUAAUAAAAAAAAAAUAAAAAAAAAUACAGAAAGAACUACAAAAUGCAUACAAUGAAAAUACAAGUUACUAAACUUGAGUCUUCAAAUAAGGCUUAAAAUUUUAAUUGUUCUAGAGAGGAGCUUUCUUUUAUGCUAUUUUAGGGAGUGAAUUCCAGAGUUCAGGAGAUGCAACCUUAAAAGCUCUUGCCCAUAUUAUUUGGUGGAGGAUGGGAAAGGAGUGAGGAGAUUUUGUGAUUCAGAACGAAGCUUUCUAGUAGGGCAAUAGUCGUGGAAUUAUUCUUUGAGUCAUUGAGGAGCUAUACCUUGUUUGCAUUUGAAUAUCGUAGGAGUUCGACAAUUAUUCUCUGUUUAACUAUUCUCUGCUUUCGAAACAAAAUCAAAACAAUCGAUUGACUAACUUUCUGAGAGCCAUGGAUUGUGAUGUUCAGCGAAGUCAGUAUACUUUUCUAGGUUAGUUAUUGUAUUUAGGCCUAUUAUUAAUUUAUAAACUAAAUUAAAUAAUAUUCGUUGUUUGAUUGGUUCAAAAUAUGUAUGUUUCUGUGUCAUAAAGAUGUUAUACUAACCAUUAUUUGCAAUAAAUUGUUACAUGAAAUAAUUUAUAAUCACAAUUGUCAAUGUUGAGAGAGGUAUAGUUAAUAUCUCUUGUUGCGAAGGUCGUGGGUUUGAAUCCCUCGAGCAACAUGCCUGUGAUUGUUAACAUGUAAUGUACCAUGUAAUACCGUUGUCACAAAUAGUAAUUAUGAAUACCAAAUUAAUCAAAAUGUGAUACCUUUAAAUAGCUCAAAAUAAGUAAGCAAUAAAACAGGUAAAGGUCCCCCAACUAAACUAAAUUACACAAUGACAUGAAGUGUAGCCUACAUGCUUAAAGACACUGGAUACUAUUAAAUGACCACAAAUUUGGCCAAAUGGCGGAAUUUUUGAAUGCUGUAGCAUGCCAUUUUUGCUAUCAGUUUUUGGUACUGUCUAAUACUCUACACCGACUCUAUGUUAGGUUUAUUAUUAAAUCUGAAAUAUCAUAAAUAUUCAUUGUGUUUGUUGAUUGCCGGAAGAGUAUUUGCGUAAACAGAAUCUAAGCGUGCCUGAUAUCGUCAAUAGUAGGUUACCUGGCGGUGUGGUGGAGUGGUGAUGGCCCCUGUUGCGUACAGUCAAUCAAUACAUGAAUCAAUUAAUCAAUACAGGUAAACACAUACCAAUAUGAAGACCCCCCUGGUGGGGGGGGGGGGGGUGACUUCCACUAUCAAAAAAAUGAAAAUAAUUGUAAAGCGCAAACUCCACAAAGUAUGUUUUGCCGUACGCGGAACCGAAGGAGGGGUGUAUGACUCUAUACACGCCCUUCUUCCAGACACACAAAGUACUUUCCAGUAACAGAAGACCGUAAUCAAUAAAUGGCUUUUGACCAAAGCAUGGUAUCUAAGUAUAACACUUCUGUCGCUAGAAAAUACCCCAAAGACGUUAAGUCCCAUUCCCAUGCAGAGUUUAGCCUCCAUACGAGGGCACAAAAUCGAUCAAACUUUCACGCUCGGUUUUGCACAUUGGUUGCCAACGCCCUUCUACUUAGUAAGGAAAUGAGGUAAUGGUGUACACAAAACUAUGACAUUUAUUACAAAUAAUAUUAGGUUUGGGUAAGUUUGUCCAUAUCAACCAAACCAAACAGUACACUUCACCCAGUAGUGCCCACCAUAUCUCAAAAAAGAGCUGAAUAAGCACAAGUAUAGCCAAAGCAAUGCUUACCAUCAGAAAAAAAGGUUACCAGCCAUGAUACCACGGCACAUUAACAAUUUGAGACUGGUAUGCUGCUCAUUUCUGCAAUCAGACCAACUGUUAAGACUAUUGGUAAUUACCAUAGGGCUAUGGUAAUUUCUUAAAAUAAUUAUUAGCAUAAAA
RNA transcript from Asterias rubens (European starfish), 4994 nucleotides. It is a transcript of the gene named transmembrane protein 26-like, with no coding region annotated. The transcript has 4 exons. NCBI's taxonomy places the organism in Eukaryota, Metazoa, Echinodermata, Asteroidea, Forcipulatida, Asteriidae. The record is from RefSeq and is a predicted model, not a curated record.